CAAAACCUCUCAAUGAUAAUUUUUAUUGUUGGUCAUGGGCCGCGGAGGAUUAGCCUUAACGGCUGCUCCCGCCUUAAACUUGCUGCACGACCGCAAGCUAUUGCUAGGUUAAUGAAGUGGUGUUUACAUUUUAAUUCAUAAACCGUUCAUGGCUUCUGUGGCGUUAAACCUGAUGGUCGUCUAACCGCGACCGAAG
Molecule: unclassified non-coding RNA, 196 nt
Filed under: uncultured fungus
Lineage: Eukaryota; Fungi
Description: sequence contains ITS2
Source: RNAcentral